GAUGAACGCUAGCGGCAGGCUUAACACAUGCAAGUCGAGGGGCAGCGCGGGUAGCAAUACCUGGCGGCGACCGGCAAAACGGGUGCGGAACACGUACGCAAUCUGCCCUUACCCGGAGCAUAGCCCGAAGAAAUUCGGAUUAACUCUCCAUAAGAUAGUAAAAUGGCAUCAUUUAGCUAUUAAAAAUUUAUUGGGUAAGGAUGAGCGUGCGUCCCAUUAGCUAGUUGGUAGGGUAACGGCCUACCAAGGCGACGAUGGGUAGCUGGUGUGAGAGCACGACCAGCCACACGGGCACUGAGACACGGGCCCGACUCCUACGGGAGGCAGCAGUGAGGAAUAUUGGUCAAUGGACGCAAGCCUGAACCAGCCAUGCCGCGUGAAGGAUGACGGCCCUAUGGGUUGUAAACUUCUUUUGUACGGGAAAAAACCACCGGUCGUGUAUCGGUGCUGAUGGUACCGUAAGAAUAAGCAUCGGCUAACUCCGUG
Molecule: ribosomal RNA, 486 nt
Filed under: uncultured bacterium
Lineage: Bacteria
Description: bacterial SSU rRNA
Rfam family: Bacterial small subunit ribosomal RNA
Source: RNAcentral